AAACCAUGAUUGGGAUAUUGGGUUAGAUAGGACUUGAACCGAUCCCAAGCACUGUGUAGUUGUUCGCCCGGUAAUUGCUUGAACUCAAAGAUUUUGUCUCGGAGUUC
Molecule: small nucleolar RNA, 107 nt
Organism: Lycium barbarum (goji berry)
Lineage: Eukaryota; Viridiplantae; Streptophyta; Magnoliopsida; Solanales; Solanaceae
Source: RefSeq, a predicted model, not a curated record